Molecule: non-coding RNA, 138 nt
Organism: Ornithorhynchus anatinus (platypus)
Lineage: Eukaryota; Metazoa; Chordata; Mammalia; Monotremata; Ornithorhynchidae
Source: Rfam
UCCUUCUCAGGAUUGCACCUGGAGAGUUUCUAGUACCCUACCAGUUUCUGCAACAAGAGGGAGAGUCAAGCAGAGGCAUACCCAUUCCAUUCCUAGCUUGGGCAGUGGCUAGUAAGUAGAAGGUAAUCUGCUAUGAGU